CCCGGGGCCGCCCCGGAAGCCCGUCGGCGUCAGUUCCGCUGCCUGGCUUGCCCGGCGUCCUCGCCUCGUCUCUGGGCCUCGAGCCGUGCCGGGGCGACGUCGGGGCGGGAGCGGCCGGCGCGGAGGACGCCGGGGAGGUGUCCGGGAGCCGGGCCACACGCGGCUGGCUCGGCCGUCCCCCGCGGGGCCGUGCCGGCCGGAGACAACCCGGAGGGGCAGGACUCCUCGCGCCGCACGAGGUGGGGCGGCGCCUGCCUGCGGCGACGUCGCAGCCUCCAACGGGGCUUACCUGAGGAGCAGCCUACCGGGAGCCGGCUGGGUGAAAACGCACGGCGUAAACGGGCCCCGCCUGUGCUGCAGCUAUACUGGUCGGCUUCCAAUUCCAACGGGCCAAGCGCUGUUUUUUUCUGACUUGGAGCUUCUCUGCUUUUGGUUCCCUUGGCCAGGAACCCUUUCUCUCCUCUCCACCCUCCCCUUACUCCCCACCCCACAGUGUUUUACGUCUCAAUGAAAGACAGAUCGAGAUGCCUUUUUCGGACCACCCAUCUAUGGUGGGGCACCUGUUAGUCUACUACUGUAUUGCCUUGGUAGCUCUUUGCCCGCUCUGUUAUUUACUACUGUGCCCCCCACCCCGCUUGAAUGUCAGGCAAAUAGCAGGUCCUUAAUAAAUAUUUGUUGCCUUAUUCAGGCUGAGGAAUGACUCAUAAUUUCUCCCCAGAUCCCUAUGCUUCAGUAAUACGGUUUAGUUUUUUUUUUUUAAUCAAAGUAAUUUUUUAAAGAGGAAGAGGAGAAAGAAUAUCCUAUCUUCACUUGCCCUCACUGUGGGACUUUGGAUCAGUCACUUGAUCUCUUUGGGCUUCAAUUUUCUCAUCUGAAAAACUCAGAGAAUAGCAUGUACCUUACACAGUUGUAAGGUUAGGAAAUGUACAUAAAGCACAGAGAAACCCCUUCCCAAAUGUUAGUGAAUAACAGAAGUAUUUACUAUUUAUCAUUUUAAAGCACUUAUCAUAUAUUAAACACUUAAUAAAUGGAUGGGACUCAAACCCA
Non-coding RNA from Callithrix jacchus (white-tufted-ear marmoset), 1047 nucleotides. Lineage: Eukaryota; Metazoa; Chordata; Mammalia; Primates; Cebidae. The record is from RefSeq and is a predicted model, not a curated record.